This 443-nucleotide ribosomal RNA is filed under the name Kocuria rhizophila. RNAcentral's name for it is "bacterial SSU rRNA". It matches the Rfam family "Bacterial small subunit ribosomal RNA", at positions 1009 to 1449 of the family's 1533-position model. The record is from RNAcentral. Lineage: Bacteria; Bacillati; Actinomycetota; Actinomycetes; Micrococcales; Micrococcaceae.
UCUUUCCCCCUUGUGGGGCUGGUGUACAGGUGGUGCAUGGUUGUCGUCAGCUCGUGUCGUGAGAUGUUGGGUUAAGUCCCGCAACGAGCGCAACCCUCGUUCUAUGUUGCCAGCACGUGAUGGUGGGGACUCAUAGGAGACUGCCGGGGUCAACUCGGAGGAAGGUGAGGAUGACGUCAAAUCAUCAUGCCCCUUAUGUCUUGGGCUUCACGCAUGCUACAAUGGCCAGUACAAUGGGUUGCGAUGCCGCGAGGUGGAGCUAAUCCCAAAAAGCUGGUCUCAGUUCGGAUCGUGGUCUGCAACUCGACCACGUGAAGUCGGAGUCGCUAGUAAUCGCAGAUCAGCAACGCUGCGGUGAAUACGUUCCCGGGCCUUGUACACACCGCCCGUCAAGUCACGAAAGUUGGUAACACCCGAAGCCGGUGGCCUAACCCUUGUGGGGG